UAGUCCACGCCGUAAACGAUGAUAACUCGAUGUGUGCGAUAUACAGUACGCGUCCAAGCGAAAGUGUUAAGUUAUCCACCUGGGAAGUACGUCCGCAAGGAUGAAACUCAAAGGAAUUGACGGGGGCCCGCACAAGCGGAGGAGCAUGUGGUUUAAUUCGAUGAUACGCGAGGAACCUUACCUGGGCUUAAAUGCAGGAUGACUUCAGUCGAAAGGCUGUUUUCUUCGGACAUUUUGCAAGGUGCUGCAUGGUUGUCGUCAGCUCGUGCCGUGAGGUGUCGGGUUAAGUCCCAUAACGAGCGCAACCCCUAUCCUCAGUUGCCAGCACGUAAUGGUGGGGACUCUGGGGGAACUGCCUACGCAAGUAGAGAGGAAGGUGGGGAUGACGUCAAAUCAGCACGGCCCUUAUGUCCAGGGGCUACACACGUGCUACAAUGGCCUGAACAGAGGGGCA
RNAcentral lists this ribosomal RNA (454 nucleotides) under uncultured bacterium. RNAcentral describes it as "bacterial SSU rRNA". It matches the Rfam family "Bacterial small subunit ribosomal RNA", at positions 791 to 1249 of the family's 1533-position model. The record is from RNAcentral.